This 375-nucleotide unclassified non-coding RNA is filed under the name Hevea brasiliensis (rubber tree). Lineage: Eukaryota; Viridiplantae; Streptophyta; Magnoliopsida; Malpighiales; Euphorbiaceae. The record is from RNAcentral.
GGUCUCUUCAUCAUGGGUUGCCAUAACACCAUCCGUUUUAUAGCCAAGGAUGCUUCUUGAUGUAGGGUCAUCCCAUAUUAGAAGCAGCACUCUAACACCUUCUUGUGACUUUAACUUUAAAAGAUCCCCGAGAGUGCAACCUUCAGCAGAAGCAUCAUCUCGAACAAGUUUGACUUUGUGCCAUACUGACCAACCUGUAAUGUAGAUCAACCGUCGGGCUUGGCGUAUGGCGUCAAAGAUGUCACGCCAACACUUCCCAUGUACAUAUUGCAUUCCAUAGUCAAGCAUCACAUUUGGAAGGCAUCCAUCAGGCACAUGAGCAUCUUGAUACAGAGUAACUGUUCCACCCAUCCGCAGUGGAAAAUAAGUUCCAGG